RNAcentral lists this long non-coding RNA (244 nucleotides) under Elaeis guineensis (African oil palm). RNAcentral describes it as "long non-coding RNA (EGUI_LNC011454)". Lineage: Eukaryota; Viridiplantae; Streptophyta; Magnoliopsida; Arecales; Arecaceae. The record is from RNAcentral.
UGGGGAUAUUUAUUACUUUUGGUCUUAGCUUAUAUCUGCAUAGAAACUCAGGAUACCUCGUAACAACAUAUAGGAGCUCAUUUCAGAGUCAGCUCAGCUCAUAUGAAGACAGCUCUUCACAGCAUAACCAUAGCUCAUAGAGCUGUAAAUUUGAGGCAUCCAUAAUGCCACUGUAACAUACCCUCCUACUCCUGAGUUUAAGAAUUAGGCGAAAGGAGUACUAUUGACAUGAUACCUCAAUCCA